Molecule: ribosomal RNA, 128 nt
Filed under: Digitalis laevigata
Lineage: Eukaryota; Viridiplantae; Streptophyta; Magnoliopsida; Lamiales; Plantaginaceae
Description: partial 5.8S ribosomal RNA
Rfam family: 5.8S ribosomal RNA
About the family: 5.8S ribosomal RNA (5.8S rRNA) is a component of the large subunit of the eukaryotic ribosome. It is transcribed by RNA polymerase I as part of the 45S precursor that also contains 18S and 28S rRNA.
Source: RNAcentral
GCAUCGAUGAAGAACGUAGCGAAAUGCGAUACUUGGUGUGAAUUGCAGAAUCUCGUGAACCAUCGAGUCUUUGAACGCAAGUUGCGCCCGAAGCCAUUAGGUUGAGGGCACGCCUGCCUGGGCGUCAU